AUGAAGAAGCGCCUGGCAAACGGGACAAUAAAGUGCGAUUCGCCGGGAGUCUAUCGGCUUGGUGGCCUUCCCGACGACGUGCUCGGGCGCAUCCUCGGCUUCCUACCCACCCCGCUGGCCGUGCGCGCGACCCAGCUAUCGCGGCGUUGGCGGCGGCUGUGGCCGGCGCACGUGCUCGCCCUCAACCUAUCCGUCCAGGACUGCAAGAACCGUGGCGUGGGGGUCAGGUUCCCCGACCUCUGCGCGCGUGCCCUCGCGCGGUUCCCGAUCUUCUCCAUCCCCUCCAUCUCCCUCGAGUUUUGCACGCGCGACCAAAUCGGAGUCGGCAAGGCCAAAGCAUGGUACGCCGAGGCCAUGGAGCGCGCAGCGGGGUCCGUGAGCGUCACGGUGCUACGGGGGGCAUUCCCGCUGGCGCUCCCGCGGUUCACGCAGGCGGCGGCCCUGUCCCUGACGCUGACCCACAGAAUCGAUCUGGAGCUCCCGGCGGCCGGGGACGAUCCGGUGCGCUUCGGCAGGCUGACGGAGCUGGUCCUCGCCACGAUGCGGCUGCCCGCCGACUCGCCUCCGUUGCACGAGUUCCUGUCGUCGUCCUGCCCGCGGCUGCGGAGGCUGCGCCUGUGCUGCGUGAGAGGCGGCGAGGCCGUGCGCGCGCUGGUCCUCCGCUCCGACGCCCUCGAGGCGCUCGACCUCAACAAUGUGGACGGCAUGGCGAGGCUGGACGUGGCGGCCCCCAACCUGCGGUCGCUGAGCGUGCGCUCCUGCUUCCGUUUCCCAAGGAGCGGCGACCAAGACACCGAGGUGGUUGUCUCGGCGCCGAGGAUGGAGUCCGUCUGCUGGUACCGCAGCUACCCGAGGCGGCUCAGCACCCCCGACGGCAGCCUGGCGCGCGUCCGCCGGCUCUCCGGCCUCAAGCUCGCGACGCUGGGCCGGAGCGACAGCUUCGACUUCCCUUACACGAUGCAGCUGCUGCAGGCCUGCUCCCUCACCACCGAGCACCUGGAGCUGGACCUGGUGCUGCCGGACGAGAUGACCCUCGACAACUGGCUAGGCCCGGAGGAGCGGGGCUCGCCUGCGUGCGAGGACCUGAUGAGACACGUCCCGCCAUUGCCCCGUGUCACCGUGCUCUCGCUCAAGGUUCGGUGGGGGAUUGGUGGCGACGUCGGGCCGUGCCUGGCCUCCCUCCUGUCGCGUGUCCCGAGCGUGGCAACGAUUCACGUGGGACCAGCCCCGUACUGUCUCACCGUCUUGGGGGGCGCAGUCGUACCGCGAGGAGAGUGCCGGUGGGGUCGUUGCGUGGACGAAAGGAGUAGCGGUGGCCAGCUGGGCUCUCUCCGAGAGAUCGUUGUCCACGGGCUCAGGGGAACGGACGGCGAGGAGUGCAGCCUCGUCGAGGUUCUGCUUGGGACCGUGCCGCCGUCGAUCGAGAGGAUAUCUCUCAGGUUUCACGACGCUACAGCCGCGUCGGUCGUCGACGAGAUCGCAGCCGAGUUGCGAGCACACUUCCCUACGGCGACUGCUGGGUGUUGGACCAGGGCGGCUUGCUCGACCACGCUCGAAUGGACCAAACGCAAGCUCACUCCACGAGAACGGAAGGGAUAA
This 1599-nucleotide ribosomal RNA is filed under the name Triticum aestivum (bread wheat). RNAcentral's name for it is "partial small subunit ribosomal RNA". The record is from RNAcentral. Lineage: Eukaryota; Viridiplantae; Streptophyta; Magnoliopsida; Poales; Poaceae.